AGGAACUCAUUCUGUUCAUCUCGUAAGUCAUCAAGGAGCUGGAAAGAAAUAUAAGAAAAGGUCUGGAAAGGGCAUUAAACGUGGACCACUAAAGAUAAAUGAGUCUUCUACCCAAAUCUACAAUAAAGAUCACAAGAAAGAUAUGUGCCAUUUCUGUCGCAAACUUGGGCAUCAUAAAAGGGAUUGCCUGAAAUGUAAGGCAUGGUUCGAAAGUAAAGGUAAGAUUAUUUCUUAUGUAUGUUUUGAAUCUAAUUUGGCAGAAGUUCCUUAUAAUACUUGGUGGAUUGAUUCCGAAUGUACCACUCAUGUUACAAAUACGAUGCAGGGAUUCUUUUCAAUCCAAACCAUAAAUCCAAACAAG
Molecule: long non-coding RNA, 361 nt
Filed under: Olea europaea (common olive)
Lineage: Eukaryota; Viridiplantae; Streptophyta; Magnoliopsida; Lamiales; Oleaceae
Description: long non-coding RNA (OEUR_LNC007702)
Source: RNAcentral